AGUGGGAGCACCCUUUGGGUGUGACUGCGUACCUUUUGUAUAAUGGGUCAGCGACUUAUAUUCUGUAGCAAGGUUAACCGAAUAGGGGAGCCGGAGGGAAACCGAGUCUUAAUUGGGCGUUAAGUUGCAGGGUAUAGACCCGAAACCCGGUGAUCUAGCCAUGGGCAGGUUGAAGGUUGGGUAACACUAACUGGAGGACCGAACCGACUAAUGUUGAAAAAUUAGCGGAUGACCUGUGGCUGGGGGUGAAAGGCCAAUCAAACCGGGAGAUAGCUGGUUCUCCCCGAAAGCUAUUUAGGUAGCGCCUCGUGAAUUCAUCUCCGGGGGUAGAGCACUGUUUCGGCUAGGGGGCCAUCCCGGCUUACCAACCCGAUGCAAACUGCGAAUACCGGAGAAUGUUAUCACGGGAGACACACGGCGGGUGCUAACGUCCGUCGUGAAGAGGGAAACAACCCAGACCGCCAGCUAAGGUCCCAAAGUCAUGGUUAAGUGGGAAACGAUGUGGGAAGGCCCAGACAGCCAGGAUGUUGGCUUAGAAGCAGCCAUCAUUUAAAGAAAGCGUAAUAGCUCACUGGUCGAGUCGGCCUGCGCGGAAGAUGUAACGGGGCUAAACCAUGCACCGAAGCUGCGGCAGCGACACUGUGUGUUGUUGGGUAGGGGAGCGUUCUGUAAGCCUGUGAAGGUGUGUCGUGAGGCAUGCUGGAGGUAUCAGAAGUGCGAAUGCUGACAUAAGUAACGAUAAAGCGGGUGAAAAGCCCGCUCGCCGGAAGACCAAGGGUUCCUGUCCAACGUUAAUCGGGGCAGGGUGAGUCGACCCCUAAGGCGAGGCCGAAAGGCGUAGUCGAUGGGAAACGGGUUAAUAUUCCCGUACUUGGUGUUACUGCGAAGGGGGGACGGAGAAGGCUAUGUUGGCCGGGCGACGGUUGUCCCGGUUUAAGCGUGUAGGUGUGUGUUCCAGGUAAAUCCGGUUCACUUUAACACUGAGGCGUGACGACGAGGCACUACGGUGCUGAAGCAACAAAUGCCCUGCUUCCAGGAAAAGCCUCUAAGCAUCAGGUAACAUCAAAUCGUACCCCAAACCGACACAGGUGGUCAGGUAGAGAAUACCAAGGCGCUUGAGAGAACUCGGGUGAAGGAACUAGGCAAAAUGGUGCCGUAACUUCGGGAGAAGGCACGCUGACACGUAGGUGAAGUGAUUUACUCAUGGAGCUGAAGUCAGUCGAAGAUACCAGCUGGCUGCAACUGUUUAUUAAAAACACAGCACUGUGCAAACACGAAAGUGGACGUAUACGGUGUGACGCCUGCCCGGUGCCGGAAGGUUAAUUGAUGGGGUCAGCGCAAGCGAAGCUCCUGAUCGAAGCCCCGGUAAACGGCGGCCGUAACUAUAACGGUCCUAAGGUAGCGAAAUUCCUUGUCGGGUAAGUUCCGACCUGCACGAAUGGCGUAAUGAUGGCCAGGCUGUCUCCACCCGAGACUCAGUGAAAUUGAACUCGCUGUGAAGAUGCAGUGUACCCGCGGCAAGACGGAAAGACCCCGUGAACCUUUACUAUAGCUUGACACUGAACAUUGAGCCUUGAUGUGUAGGAUAGGUGGGAGGCUUUGAAGUGUGGACGCCAGUCUGCAUGGAGCCGACCUUGAAAUACCACCCUUUAAUGUUUGAUGUUCUAACGUGGACCCGUUACCCGGGUUGCGGACAGUGUCUGGUGGGUAGUUUGACUGGGGCGGUCUCCUCCUAAAGAGUAACGGAGGAGCACGAAGGUUGGCUAAUCCUGGUCGGACAUCAGGAGGUUAGUGCAAUGGCAUAAGCCAGCUUGACUGCGAGCGUGACGGCGCGAGCAGGUGCGAAAGCAGGUCAUAGUGAUCCGGUGGUUCUGAAUGGAAGGGCCAUCGCUCAACGGAUAAAAGGUACUCCGGGGAUAACAGGCUGAUACCGCCCAAGAGUUCAUAUCGACGGCGGUGUUUGGCACCUCGAUGUCGGCUCAUCACAUCCUGGGGCUGAAGUAGGUCCCAAGGGUAUGGCUGUUCGCCAUUUAAAGUGGUACGCGAGCUGGGUUUAGAACGUCGUGAGACAGUUCGGUCCCUAUCUGCCGUGGGCGCUGGAGAACUGAGGGGGGCUGCUCCUAGUACGAGAGGACCGGAGUGGACGCAUCACUGGUGUUCGGGUUGUCAUGCCAAUGGCACUGCCCGGUAGCUAAAUGCGGAAGAGAUAAGUGCUGAAAGCAUCUAAGCACGAAACUUGCCCCGAG
Molecule: ribosomal RNA, 2246 nt
Filed under: Salmonella enterica
Lineage: Bacteria; Pseudomonadati; Pseudomonadota; Gammaproteobacteria; Enterobacterales; Enterobacteriaceae
Description: partial 23S ribosomal RNA
Rfam family: Bacterial large subunit ribosomal RNA
Source: RNAcentral